Molecule: ribosomal RNA, 402 nt
Filed under: uncultured bacterium
Lineage: Bacteria
Description: bacterial SSU rRNA
Rfam family: Bacterial small subunit ribosomal RNA
Source: RNAcentral
UGGGGAAUAUUGCACAAUGGGCGAAAGCCUGAUGCAGCAACGCCGCGUGAGUGAUGAAGGCCUUCGGGUUGUAAAGCUCUGUCUUCUGGGACGAUAAUGACGGUACCAGAGGAGGAAGCCACGGCUAACUACGUGCCAGCAGCCGCGGUAAUACGUAGGUGGCAAGCGUUGUCCGGAUUUACUGGGCGUAAAGGAUGCGUAGGCGGAUACUUAAGUCAGAUGCGAAAAUCCCGGGCUUAACUUGGGAACUGCAUUUGAAACUGGGUAUCUAGAGUGCGGGAGAGGAAAGUGGAAUUCCUAGUGUAGCGGUGAAAUGCGUAGAGAUUAGGAAGAACACCAGUGGCGAAGGCGACUUUCUGGACCGUAACUGACGCUGAGGCAUGAAAGCGUGGGGAGCAAACA